RNAcentral lists this ribosomal RNA (576 nucleotides) under uncultured fungus. RNAcentral describes it as "eukaryotic LSU rRNA". The stretch from base 217 to 370 matches the Rfam family "5.8S ribosomal RNA". Lineage: Eukaryota; Fungi. The record is from RNAcentral.
UUGGUCAUUUAGAGGAAGUAAAAGUCGUAACAAGGUCUCCGUUGGUGAACCAGCGGAGGGAUCAUUACCGAGUUUACAACUCCCAAACCCCUGUGAACAUACCUAUACGUUGCCUCGGCGGAUCAGCCCGCGCCCCGUAAAACGGGACGGCCCGCCCGAGGACCCCUAAACUCUGUUUUUAGUGGAACUUCUGAGUAAAACAAACAAAUAAAUCAAAACUUUCAACAACGGAUCUCUUGGUUCUGGCAUCGAUGAAGAACGCAGCAAAAUGCGAUAAGUAAUGUGAAUUGCAGAAUUCAGUGAAUCAUCGAAUCUUUGAACGCACAUUGCGCCCGCCAGUAUUCUGGCGGGCAUGCCUGUUCGAGCGUCAUUUCAACCCUCAAGCUCAGCUUGGUGUUGGGACUCGCGGUAACCCGCGUUCCCCAAAUCGAUUGGCGGUCACGUCGAGCUUUCAUAGCGUAGUAAUCAUACACCUCGUUACUGGUAAUCGUCGCGGCCACGCCGUAAAACCCCAACUUCUGAAUGUUGACCUCGGAUCAGGUAGGAAUACCCGCUGAACUUAAGCAUAUCAAUAAG